Molecule: ribosomal RNA, 170 nt
Filed under: Trimma fucatum (harlot pygmy goby)
Lineage: Eukaryota; Metazoa; Chordata; Actinopteri; Gobiiformes; Gobiidae
Description: partial 12S rRNA
Source: RNAcentral
CACCGCGGUUAGACGAGAGACCCAAAUUGACAGACUCCGGCAAAAAGCGUGGUUAAUUAAAGAUUAAACUAAAGUCGAAAACCCUCAUAUUUCAGUCAAAUGCCUUGGGGAGGAGAAGCCCAGCCACGAAAGUGACUUUAAACUUAAAUGAUGCCACGAAAGCUAAGAAA